This 27-nucleotide non-coding RNA is filed under the name Mus musculus (house mouse). Lineage: Eukaryota; Metazoa; Chordata; Mammalia; Rodentia; Muridae. The record is from RNAcentral. RNAcentral also lists the same sequence under 1 other name.
UACAAACAGAAGAGAAGCAGGAGGCCC